AUACUUACCUAGAUGGGAUCAAUGGGCGAUGAGCGAUCAAGAAGGCCCAUGGCCUAGGUUGAUGACCUCCGUUGCACUCUGGAGGGCGCUCGCCUAAGGUCGGCCCAAGUGGCCGAACCUAUGUCAUAAUUUGUGGCAGUGGGGCUUGCGUUCGUGCGGCCCCUAC
This 166-nucleotide small nuclear RNA is filed under the name Nicotiana sylvestris (wood tobacco). RNAcentral describes it as "U1 spliceosomal RNA". It matches the Rfam family "U1 spliceosomal RNA". Rfam says of the family: U1 is a small nuclear RNA (snRNA) component of the spliceosome (involved in pre-mRNA splicing). Its 5' end forms complementary base pairs with the 5' splice junction, thus defining the 5' donor site of an intron. Lineage: Eukaryota; Viridiplantae; Streptophyta; Magnoliopsida; Solanales; Solanaceae. The record is from Rfam by way of RNAcentral.